RNAcentral lists this ribosomal RNA (267 nucleotides) under Klebsiella sp. MZ-89. RNAcentral describes it as "partial 16S ribosomal RNA". It matches the Rfam family "Bacterial small subunit ribosomal RNA", at positions 85 to 356 of the family's 1533-position model. The record is from RNAcentral. Lineage: Bacteria; Pseudomonadati; Pseudomonadota; Gammaproteobacteria; Enterobacterales; Enterobacteriaceae.
CGGGUGACGAGCGGCGGACGGGUGAGUAAUGUCUGGGAACUGCCUGAUGGAGGGGGAUAACUACUGGAAACGGUAGCUAAUACCGCAUAACGUCGCAAGACCAAAGUGGGGGACCUUCGGGCCUCAUGCCAUCAGAUGUGCCCAGAUGGGAUUAGCUAGUAGGUGGGGUAACGGCUCACCUAGGCGACGAUCCCUAGCUGGUCUGAGAGGAUGACCAGCCACACUGGAACUGAGACACGGUCCAGACUCCUACGGGAGGCAGCAGUG